UUUCCGUAGGUGAACCUGCGGAAGGAUCAUUAAAGAGUAAGGGUCUUCGGGCCCGAUCUCCAACCCUUUGUUUAACUACCAUGUUGCUUUGGCGGGCCCGUCUCACGACCGCCGGAAGUUUGGCUUCGACCAAACUUCUGGCCCGUGCCCGUCAGUGGCCCCUUCAAAUUCUUGAUCAAGUAUGAUGUCUUAGUUAAAAACUUAAUAGUUAAAACUCUCAACAACGGAUCUCUUGGUUCUG
RNAcentral lists this unclassified non-coding RNA (241 nucleotides) under plant metagenome. RNAcentral describes it as "partial contains small subunit ribosomal RNA, internal transcribed spacer 1, and 5.8S ribosomal RNA". The record is from RNAcentral.